UCGAGCGAACAGAAGGGAGCUUGCUCCCGGAUGUUAGCGGCGGACGGGUGAGUAACACGUGGGUAACCUGCCUGUAAGACUGGGAUAACUCCGGGAAACCGGAGCUAAUACCGGAUAGUUCCUUGAACCGCAUGGUUCAAGGAUGAAAGACGGUUUCGGCUGUCACUUACAGAUGGACCCGCGGCGCAUUAGCUAGUUGGUGGGGUAAUGGCUCACCAAGGCGACGAUGCGUAGCCGACCUGAGAGGGUGAUCGGCCACACUGGGACUGAGACACGGCCCAGACUCCUACGGGAGGCAGCAGUAGGGAAUCUUCCGCAAUGGACGAAAGUCUGACGGAGCAACGCCGCGUGAGUGAUGAAGGUUUUCGGAUCGUAAAGCUCUGUUGUUAGGGAAGAACAAGUGCGAGAGUAACUGCUCGCACCUUGACGGUACCUAACCAGAAAGCCACGGCUAACUACGUGCCAGCAGCCGCGGUAAUACGUAGGUGGCAAGCGUUGUCCGGAAUUAUUGGGCGUAAAGGGCUCGCAGGCGGUUUCUUAAGUCUGAUGUGAAAGCCCCCGGCUCAACCGGGGAGGGUCAUUGGAAACUGGGAAACUUGAGUGCAGAAGAGGAGAGUGGAAUUCCACGUGUAGCGGUGAAAUGCGUAGAGAUGUGGAGGAACACCAGUGGCGAAGGCGACUCUCUGGUCUGUAACUGACGCUGAGGAGCGAAAGCGUGGGGAGCGAACAGGAUUAGAUACCCUGGUAGUCCACGCCGUAAACGAUGAGUGCUAAGUGUUAGGGGGUUUCCGCCCCUUAGUGCUGC
This 805-nucleotide ribosomal RNA is filed under the name Bacillus sp. (in: firmicutes). Its description in RNAcentral is "bacterial SSU rRNA". It matches the Rfam family "Bacterial small subunit ribosomal RNA", at positions 62 to 849 of the family's 1533-position model. Lineage: Bacteria; Bacillati; Bacillota; Bacilli; Caryophanales; Bacillaceae. The record is from RNAcentral.